This is a long non-coding RNA of Helicoverpa zea (corn earworm), 998 nucleotides long. RefSeq lists it as uncharacterized. NCBI's taxonomy places the organism in Eukaryota, Metazoa, Arthropoda, Insecta, Lepidoptera, Noctuidae. The transcript is spliced from 2 exons. The record is from RefSeq and is a predicted model, not a curated record.
UCUACGAGAUUAAAAAACAGACUAUAAGCACAGCUUGUAUCUUGUGACUCAGAUAAUCAUAUAAUUUUUUGUUUGCAGAAACUUACCCAAACCACCAUUGAAACCGAAUUUCAAUCCUCAUUGCCCACGCGAAGAAGCAAGAAGCUUGAUCAGCAACAAAACAUACCCAGUCCCCGCUAGAAAGAAACCGGUCAAAAAAGUUAAAGAACAACAAUCCGACUCGCCAAUGCUGGUAAUCAGAGCUUUAGACAAAACAUUCACAAAACAGCUGUCCCUAUCAGAAAUAAUGCACGUUGAUAUAAAACCCGGUAAAAGAAUUACUGGUACACCCAGUUUCUGUCCGCCUAACUACAAGGGAUUAUCACCGAAACUCAUGAGCAUUCGCACACCUGGAUAAAUUGGAAACGUACUUUUUUAGCAACGGUGAAUAUAGUUUUUUUUUUUUAAGGAAAUUUUUCGUAAUUUGCUGUGAGAAAUGUUUUACUUUUUUAUGUUUUCCCAUUAGUGGUUUGAGUAAUGGGAAUUUGGGUACGGAUAAAGCAAUGCUAAAGAUUUUUUUUUGUAAUUCGUUUUUUUAUUAUUGUUGGAAAAAUGUGUUGUUUUUUUUUUAUUUUCUGAAUAAUGGGAAAUUAAGGAUGUGGAAAUUAUUGCAUUUUUUGUGAGUUUUUGACGGAUAUUUUUGAGUUAAUUAGCAUAUCUACUAUCUUAUCUGUACUCACCGAAAUAUGACUGAAUUAUAAAACAGAUUUUUGAUUUCCUGCCGACAUUUUAGCUUUGUUUAUUCGCACUCAAUUUUUUUCCAGAUGGGAAUUUUAAUUUUCCGAAUGGGAAUUCAUUAUUAUUUAAUUUUGCUGAAAUUGGCACACAUAUUGACCGUGCUAUUUGAUCUCUGCAAUUUAAGUAAUAUGGGAAUUAGUGGUCCUCCAAUGGGAAAAUAUAAAUUAUUGUGUUUUUUAUAUAAUGGGGUUGUAAUAAAAAUGUAACUGAUUUAAAUUGUA